AUUGAACGCUGGCGGCAUGCCUUACACAUGCAAGUCGAACGGCAGCGCGGGGGCAACCCUGGCGGCGAGUGGCGAACGGGUGAGUAAUAUAUCGGAACGUACCCAAGAGUGGGGGAUAACGUAGCGAAAGUUACGCUAAUACCGCAUACGAUCUAAGGAUGAAAGUGGGGGACCGCAAGGCCUCACGCUCCUGGAGCGGCCGAUAUCUGAUUAGCUAGUUGGUGGGGUAAAGCCUACCAAGGCAUCGAUCAGUAGCUGGCCUGAGAGGACGACCAGCCACACUGGGACUGAGACACGGCCCAGACUCCUACGGGAGGCAGCAGUGGGGAAUUUUGGACAAUGGGGGGCAACCCUGAUCCAGCAAUGCCGCGUGAGUGAAGAAGGCCUUCGGUUGUAAGCGUCUUUUGUCUAGGGAAGAAACGGUUAGGGGCGUAAUAUCCUCGGCUAAUGACGGUACCUGAAGAAUAAG
RNAcentral lists this ribosomal RNA (469 nucleotides) under uncultured bacterium. RNAcentral describes it as "bacterial SSU rRNA". It matches the Rfam family "Bacterial small subunit ribosomal RNA", at positions 30 to 490 of the family's 1533-position model. The record is from RNAcentral.